This 463-nucleotide ribosomal RNA is filed under the name uncultured bacterium. RNAcentral's name for it is "partial 16S ribosomal RNA". It matches the Rfam family "Bacterial small subunit ribosomal RNA", at positions 28 to 507 of the family's 1533-position model. The record is from RNAcentral.
GACGAACGCUGGCGGCGUGCUUAACACAUGCAAGUCGAACGGAAAGGCCUUUUCGGAGGUACUCGAGUGGCGAACGGGUGAGUAACACGUGGGUGAUCUGCCCUGCACUCUGGGAUAAGCCUGGGAAACUGGGUCUAAUACCGGAUAGGACCGCACUUUAGUGUGUGUGGUGGAAAGUUUUUUCGGUGUAGGAUGAGCCCGCGGCCUAUCAGCUUGUUGGUGGGGUAAUGGCCUACCAAGGCGGCGACGGGUAGCCGGACUGAGAGGUUGGUCGGCCACAUUGGGAGUGAGAUACGGGCCAGACGCCUGCGGUGGGCCGCCGUGGGGGGUGGUGUGCAGUGGGCGCGAGUCUGAUUCCUCGACGCCGCGUGGGGGGUGACGGCCGUCGAGAAGUAAACUCCGUUCGCCAGAGACGAAGCGGUGAGUACCGGUAAUAUAAGAAGAAACACGCACAAACUACGUG